UACGGAGGGUGCAAGCGUUGUCCGGAAUCACUGGGUGUAAAGGGUGUGUAGGCGGGCCCGUAAGUCAGAGGUGAAAGCCCACGGCUCAACCGUGGAACGGCCUUUGAUACUGCGGGUCUUGAGUCCUGGAGAGGUUGCUAGAAUUCGUGGUGUAGCGGUGAAAUGCGUAGAUAUCACGAGGAAUACCAGAGGCGUAGGCGGGCAACUGGACAGGCACUGACGCUGAGGCACGAAAGCGUGGGGAGCGAACAGG
Molecule: unclassified non-coding RNA, 253 nt
Filed under: uncultured Bacteroidota bacterium
Lineage: Bacteria; Pseudomonadati; Bacteroidota
Description: uncultured Bacteroidetes bacterium contains 16S-23S intergenic spacer region
Rfam family: Bacterial small subunit ribosomal RNA
Source: RNAcentral